CCCUCUCUGGGCACAUUCAUUUAUUGAUACAAUUAUUAUAUUUUAUUCUCAUGGAUAUAUCUCUCAUGGUGCCUUACACUGGAUGAUUAUAUGUUGAGCAGGCACACAAUCUAUGUAUUAUUGUGAAGCCAUACAAUAUCACAGUCGUUAUACAAAACAUAUACUGUGCCUAUAACAAGAUCAACUAUAUCACUGUAGCCUACGAAGGGCAUAUUGUGUUACUGUACCCUACAAAGGGCAUAUUAUAUUAUAUUAUUGUACCCUACAGAGGGUCAUAUUAUAUUACUGUACCUGACGGUGCAAAUUUAUGUGGGUGUCCUCUGGGUAUUUUUUCAUGGCACACCACCUGGGGUGACCCCCCAGAUAUGCAUGCAAGGUCACUGACAGACCAUUACCUUUGAUGUGGGUGUCCUCUGGGCUACCAUGGCACACCACCCGGGGUGAACCCCGAUCAUAUGCACGGAGGCCUACGCCACACUGCCUGUCAGUUUUACAUUAAAGCAACAAUACCAUGCCGGAUGCGUUUUGACGGCAGGAUCACUAAGAAAACUGAGUGUAUUGCGGUGUACCCUUCACAGGGAUACAUAUAUGUAUAUUUACUGUGCCUAGUGUACAUAUUGAACGUGGGUGUCCUCUGGGUAAUUUUUCAUGGCACACCACCUGGGAUGACCCCCAGAUAUGCAUGCAAUGCUUGUAAGGUGCCAAUAAUUAUAAUAUGGGUGUCCUCUGGGUUACCAUGGCACACCACCUGGGAUGAACCCAGCCUAAUAGACAUGGGUCCUGCGGCUGCAGACCUUAUGGAGACAGGCCCCAUGCGCCUAUAUACUAAGCCUGUAUAGUUAAAAACCGUGCAUACAGCUCUGGCGUACAUUUGUGGUGAACCCGGCUAGCCAGACCGACACCACUACCAGUCACCGCCUGCACCACGACUCUCAGUAGCCAGAUUAAACUAAUAGAGGUGACCCCUCUACACUUGGCACGAGUAUUCAUACUCUCAGACAUACUAAAGCAGGCAAUUCAAACUGUUUUUACCUGGGUGAUCCCCAGUUCUACCAGGAGUCUAACACCCCUAUGUGCUGACCCUCACACUAUCUCACAACAGGACGGGAACGAGUCAUGGUGGACACUCUCAACGUUCCCAAGAUUUCUAGGCAACGAUACACGCCACAGUAACGGCCUCAGUGGAGAAGGUUCUGUUAUGAACUCUACCCCACACCGCUUGAUGGAGACCUCAGGCCCACAAGCCUUCAAGUCAAAACGGCAAGGGAAGGGCUCCAGCCCCCUGCCACUAAGGUCAAGGGCAAGACGCCCAUCGAACAGACCAAAUAGGCGGAGCACCGGGAAUCCAAACCCCGUCCGCCACAAUCUUCCGACCAAGAAGACUAUUACCCACCACGUACUUUGGACAUGGUAGAUGAGCGACACGAAGACAGCCCACCGUCUGAGGAAAUGGAACGGCAAGACCUUCCCCACACUUCCUCGAAGUACGUUAGGGAAACCUUACUCUGGGACGGUGGCUGAGACAGAGAUAACUGUAACGGCACUAAACCAGAGUAGCCGAAGACGGAACGUUCCUGGACGAACACUAUUGGCUGCGCAACCCUCGGGGGAUGGAAGGAUGCGCACGCCUCAAGACCGAGUUACCCCAGGGUACACAACUCAACCCUACCACCUCCAAAGAACGGUCUUAAUGCUCGAUAUGCCUCCUGGGCAACGUAAAUGACGCACUAUGCGCCGACAGACGCAAAUCUGUACUUGGCCGCAUCGACAACACACUAUUGGACUUAGGAACGACAAGAAUUCGGCCCAAAAGCACAAGGCCUACUAUUCGACGUAGUGUUCAUUGCAGUAUUCAAGAAACACGUGAAUUUAUUCACCACACUAAAUUAAACCCAGACCUCGCUAAAACAAGUCUUCCACAACCCUACGGGGAAAGGUGUUUCUGGGAGGACUGGUCGGUAACUGAACCGAGCCACCAGCCGCUUCUGGGCGACAGGUUCCAGAUCGUAUACACGGUCCUCAUAUUUCUCCCAUCUAAUACACAAAGGAACCCAUCCGCUUCAUCUACUAGUGUGUCAACCUACAUAACUAACUGUUUCCAAUAUUAUGACCGGCAACCUGUCUCUGUUUUACAGAAUUGGGAGACGACUACCAAAGUCACCUGGGUUCUCCAGACAGUACAAGGCUAUGUCAUAGAGUUUUAUCACAGCCGUGCAGGUCGCCCCUUCAC
Non-coding RNA from Pelobates cultripes (western spadefoot toad), 2230 nucleotides. NCBI's taxonomy places the organism in Eukaryota, Metazoa, Chordata, Amphibia, Anura, Pelobatidae. The record is from the annotation of a GenBank genome assembly.